GAUUGUAUAAACAAUUUUAUAAAACGAAGACUGCAACGUCGUCUUCUUCUUCUUCUAGGAAGAUUGAAGCGUAUUAUAAUAGGGAAAUUUCAGAAUAAGAUUUAGUGAUGCCCAUGUGAUGGUUUAAGAGUAGUUAUUCUCUGGACUUUGCUGGCAAAGGAUAAGAUAGUAUGAGUAUUCAUUGACGUGUUUUUAACAGUUUGCAAUGUAGUGUCCACCAUUAACUACCACUAAAAGUCCACAUUACUUGAUGCAUGGCUUCCUUUCAAAGCUUUGUUGG
Molecule: non-coding RNA, 280 nt
Organism: Pelobates cultripes (western spadefoot toad)
Lineage: Eukaryota; Metazoa; Chordata; Amphibia; Anura; Pelobatidae
Source: the annotation of a GenBank genome assembly